AUUUUUUUUUUUUUUUUUUUUUUUUUUUUUAAUAAAAAAUUUUUUUUAGUUUAUUAAUUUUUUUUUAAAUAAUUUUAUAAAAUAUAGUUUAAUUGUACAGAAAUGGAAUUUAAUAAAUUUAUUUUGAAGGUUUUUAUUUUGGAGUACCUUUUGUAUCAGGGUUAAUUAAAUUUUAAAAUUUAUUUUUUUUUCUCGAAAUUUUAGGAUUUAAUUUAUUAUGGUUAAUUAUAUAUUUUAUAAUGUUUUAUAAUUUUAAGUUAGUUUUGAAAUGAAAUUCAUUUAAUUUAUAUCUAGUUUUCUUGGAAAUUAAUUUAAUUAAGAAAUUAAGUUUUAUUAAUUUUUAUUUUUAAUUAAUUAAUAAUUUUAAUUUUUAUUAUAUGAGGGAUAAGCUUCAUUAUAUUUAAUAUAAUUUUUUUAGAUUAUUUAUUUUUUUGUUUAAUUAAAAAUUUUCAAUAAUAAUUUUUAAUAUUUUAAUAAUAAUUAUUUUAAUUUAUUUUUUUACUUGGAUUUGUUUUUUAUUUUUUUUAAAAAUUUAAUUAUGAUUAAAUUAGUAAAAUUAAUAAUUUUAUCUUAUGAACUAGGCAAAAUUAGGUUUUUGAAUGUUUAUCAAAAACAUUUCUUCAUGGUUUUUUUUGAAGUAGUCCCUGCUCUAUGAAAUUAAGUUUUUAAUGGCCGCGGUAUUUUAACUGUGCUAAGGUAGCAUAAUAAUUAGUCUUUUAAUUGAGGUCUAGAAUGAAUGGGUUAACAAAAGAUUUUCUUUAUUAGUUAAAUAAAAUUUUAAUUUAAUUUAAAAGUUAAAAUGCUUUUAUGAUAAUGAGUGACGAUAAGACCCUGUAGAUCUUUAUAAAUUAUUUAUUAAUUUUUUAGGUUUAAAAUUAAUUUAAAUUAAAUAAUUUAUUUAGUUGGGGAGAUUUUUAAAAAAUUAAGCUUUUUAAUUUAUAAACAUUUUUUUAUGAUUUUUUUGAUCCAAGGUUUUAUUGAUUAUUAGAUUAAGAUACCUCAGGGAUAACAGCGUAAUAAAUUUGGGGAGUUCUAAUUUAUAAAUUUGUUUGCGACCUCGAUGUUGAAUUAAAAUUUAUAGGAGGGGUAGAUUUUUCCUUUUUAGGUCUGUUCGACCUUUAAAAUUUUACAUGAUUUGAGUUCAGACCGGCGUGAGCCAGGUUGGUUUCUAUCUUCUUAUAUAUUCUUUUUAGUACGAAAGGACUUAAAGAUUUUAUUAAAAUAAUAUUUAUUUUAUGUUAAAUUAUUAAAU
This 1252-nucleotide ribosomal RNA is filed under the name Nisia fuliginosa. Its description in RNAcentral is "16S ribosomal RNA". The record is from RNAcentral. Lineage: Eukaryota; Metazoa; Arthropoda; Insecta; Hemiptera; Meenoplidae.